Molecule: ribosomal RNA, 253 nt
Filed under: uncultured bacterium
Lineage: Bacteria
Description: partial 16S ribosomal RNA
Rfam family: Bacterial small subunit ribosomal RNA
Source: RNAcentral
UACGGAGGGGGCUAGUGUUAUUCGGAAUGACUGGGCGUAAAGGGUACGUAGGCGGUAAAUUAAGUUGAACGUGAAAUCCCAAAGCUUAACUUUGGAAGUGCUUUCAAUACUGGUUUACUCGAGAUCGAUAGGGGAUAGUGGAAUUUCUAGUGUAGAGAUAGAAUUCAUAAAUAUUAGAAGGAACACCAGUGGCGAAGGCGACUAUCUGGAUCGAUACUGACGCUGAGGUACGAAAGCAUGGGGAGCAAACGGG